This 295-nucleotide long non-coding RNA is filed under the name Solanum tuberosum (potato). Its description in RNAcentral is "long non-coding RNA (STUB_LNC005656)". The record is from RNAcentral. Lineage: Eukaryota; Viridiplantae; Streptophyta; Magnoliopsida; Solanales; Solanaceae.
CUGACCUUCAUUAUAGCUAGAUUCCCCUGAGUUGUUAGUAGUCCUUUCAUCAUGUUUGUCUCUUUUUGUGUUACUUUUGUGUCUUACAGUUUGCCAUUCACCCUGUUCUUGUAUUUCCUCCCUUGUUGUUGUUCCCUAUCCACCUGCACCUAUAUUGUUUCCUGUCCUAUCUCAUUGAUUUGUUCUUUACCCUUAUCAGUAAUAGGAACCCAUUCUUUCUUCUUUCCUUGAUUCAUUCAUUUCUUUUGUAUUUGUACUCUUGGCUUUUCUACACAUGAGUGUCCUACUUAAAGAC